RNAcentral lists this ribosomal RNA (270 nucleotides) under uncultured archaeon. RNAcentral describes it as "partial 16S ribosomal RNA". It matches the Rfam family "Archaeal small subunit ribosomal RNA", at positions 477 to 747 of the family's 1478-position model. The record is from RNAcentral.
CAGCCCCUCGAGUGGUGGGGAUGAUUAUUUGGCCUAAAGCGUCCGUAGCCGGCCGGGUAAGUUUCCCGUUAAAUCCAGCGUCUCAAGCGUUGGACUGCGGGAAAUACUGCCUGGCUAGAGAGUGGGAGAGGUCAGCGGUAUUCUGGGGGUAGGGGCGAAAUCCUUUGAUCCCCGGAGGACCACCAGUGGCGAAGGCUGCUGACUAGAACACGUCUGACGGUCAGGGACGAAAGCUGGGGUAGCGAACCGGAUUAGAUACCCGAGUAGUCC